This 321-nucleotide unclassified non-coding RNA is filed under the name uncultured Eurotiales. RNAcentral's name for it is "sequence contains ITS1". The stretch from base 1 to 105 matches the Rfam family "5.8S ribosomal RNA", at positions 50 to 154 of the family's 154-position model. The record is from RNAcentral. Lineage: Eukaryota; Fungi; Ascomycota; Eurotiomycetes; Eurotiales.
GAACUGCGAUAAGUAAUGUGAAUUGCAGAAUUCAGUGAAUCAUCGAGUCUUUGAACGCACAUUGCGCCCCCUGGUAUUCCGGGGGGCAUGCCUGUCCGAGCGUCAUUGCUACCCUCAAGCGCGGCUUGUGUGUUGGGCCGCCGUCCCCCCUGCCCGGGGGGACGGGCCCGAAAGGCAGUGACGGCACCGGGGCCGAUCCUCGAGCGUAUGGGGCUUUGUCACCCGCUCCGUGGGAUCGGCCGGUGCCUUCGAGCCGACGUUCGUCGUCAUCCUUUCUCUCAGGUUGACCUCGGAUCAGGUAGGGAUACCCGCUGAACUUAA